CAGUCGCCGCGGGAAUACGUAGGUGGCAAGCGUUGUCCGGAAUUAUUGGGCGUAAAGCGCGCGCAGGCGGCCUCUUAAGUCUGAUGUGAAAGCCCCCGGCUCAACCGGGGAGGGCCAUUGGAAACUGGGAGGCUUGAGUAUAGGAGAGAAGAGUGGAAUUCCACGUGUAGCGGUGAAAUGCGUAGAGAUGUGGAGGAACACCAGUGGCGAAGGCGACUCUUUGGCCUAUAACUGACGCUGAGGCGCGAAAGCGUGGGGAGCAAACAGGAUUAGAGACCCCCGUAGUCCCUGUCUCUUAUAC
Molecule: ribosomal RNA, 301 nt
Filed under: uncultured bacterium
Lineage: Bacteria
Description: partial 16S ribosomal RNA
Rfam family: Bacterial small subunit ribosomal RNA
Source: RNAcentral